Molecule: ribosomal RNA, 435 nt
Filed under: uncultured bacterium
Lineage: Bacteria
Description: partial 16S ribosomal RNA
Rfam family: Bacterial small subunit ribosomal RNA
Source: RNAcentral
GAUGAACGCUGGCGGUAUGCUUAACACAUGCAAGUCGAACGGACUCUUCGGAAUUAGUGGCGGACGGGUGAGUAACGCGUGAGAAUCUGGCUUUGGGUUCGGGACAACCACUGGAAACGGUGGCUAAUACCGGAUGUGCCGAGAGGUAAAAGAGAAAUUGCCUGAAGAUGAGCUCGCGUCUGAUUAGCUAGUUGGUGAGGUAAAGGCUCACCAAGGCAGCGAUCAGUAGCUGGUCUGAGAGGAUGACCAGCCACACUGGGACUGAGACACGGCCCAGACCCCUACGGGAGGCAGCAGUGAGGAAUUUUCCGCAAAGGGCGAAAGCCUGACGGAGCAAUACCGCGUGAGGGAAGAAGGCUCUUGGGUUGUAAACCUCUUUUCUUAGGGAAGAACAAAAUGACGGUACCUAAGGAAUAAGCAUCGGCUAACUCCGUG